GGCUGCGGCUUCUCGUCGGACGUCCUCCUUCUGCUCCGUCGGGCGGCAGAGCCUGGGACAGCCAUCAGCUGCUGCGGGCUGCCGUGCGGGAAGGCUACGAAGAGGAGGCUGGAGAGCUGCUCUCUGAGGGGAAGAAACCUGGACCCCAUGUGGAUCCAGGGUACAGAAGCCUUUCUCCUGCCUCUCUAGACACCUGAAGGGCCAUGCUCCUGUGAGGAGCAGGCUUAAAUGCCUCCAAGAGACUGCCUCUUGAUGUAACGUGAACCUCAUCAUCCUUCUCUGUGGGCUGGCACCCACAAAGGCAGGUCCAGGUUUUGGUACCUUCCUGAUUUUCCACAAAGGUGCAAGAAAUAAACGUCACUUGCUGACUUUCA
Pogoniulus pusillus (Red-fronted tinkerbird) is the source of this 374-nucleotide long non-coding RNA. RefSeq lists it as uncharacterized. The record is from RefSeq and is a predicted model, not a curated record. The transcript has 2 exons. NCBI's taxonomy places the organism in Eukaryota, Metazoa, Chordata, Aves, Piciformes, Lybiidae.